AGUGAACGCUGGCGGUAGGCCUAACACAUGCAAGUCGAACGGCAGCACAGUAAGAGCUUGCUCUUACGGGUGGCGAGUGGCGGACGGGUGAGGAAUACAUCGGAAUCUACUUUUUCGUGGGGGAUAACGUAGGGAAACUUACGCUAAUACCGCAUACGACCUACGGGUGAAAGCAGGGGAUCUUCGGACCUUGCGCGAUUGAAUGAGCCGAUGUCGGAUUAGCUAGUUGGCGGGGUAAAGGCCCACCAAGGCGACGAUCCGUAGCUGGUCUGAGAGGAUGAUCCGCCAAACUGGAACUGAGACACGGUCCAGACUCCUACGGGAGGCAGCAGUGGGGAAUAUUGGACAAUGGGCGCAAGCCUGAUCCAGCCAUACCGCGUGGGUGAAGAAGGCCUUCGGGUUGUAAAGCCCUUUUGUUGGGAAAGAAAAGCAGCAGGUUAAUACCCCGCUGUUCUGACGGUACCCAAAGAAUAAGCACCGGCUAACUUCGUG
RNAcentral lists this ribosomal RNA (492 nucleotides) under uncultured bacterium. RNAcentral's name for it is "partial 16S ribosomal RNA". It matches the Rfam family "Bacterial small subunit ribosomal RNA", at positions 29 to 507 of the family's 1533-position model. The record is from RNAcentral.